RNAcentral lists this ribosomal RNA (1035 nucleotides) under Triticum aestivum (bread wheat). Its description in RNAcentral is "partial small subunit ribosomal RNA". Lineage: Eukaryota; Viridiplantae; Streptophyta; Magnoliopsida; Poales; Poaceae. The record is from RNAcentral.
AUGAAGGCACCAUCGCUUCUUGUUCAGUGUUUCCCUGGCUUGCUUCCAAGCAAGGCCACUAGUUGUGUGCCGAUUAUAUCAGAGAGGGAUCUGCAUCUACCAUCACCAGCUGUUGAACUAAUCCCUUCAAAGAGUGCUCAUCCUUACAAAUAUGCUGGAGAGAAGGUCGAUGUCCAAGGUCUUGAUGUUUUCAAGGGGAAGGUCAGUGUAGCAGAUAUGAUAGCCUUUUCCCCUUCUGAAGUAGCAUCAUCAAAGCAUGAUGGUAGUCUCAAAUAUUGGGAGAGUUCCAUCACUAUUGUGAAUAUUAUUAAGAAUGAGAUCCGUGAUGGGCAGCUGAGCUUCAGGGGCAAGCGAGUUCUAGAGCUUGGAUGUGGAUCUGGCCUUGCUGGGAUUUUUGCCUGCUUGAAGGGUGCAUCUAUAGUUCACUUCCAGGACACAAAUGCAGAAACCAUAAGAUGCAGAACAAUGCCCAAUGUGCUUGCGAAUCUUGAGCAGGCUCGGGACAGGCAGAACAGACCAUCAGAGAGCCCGGUUACACCAUCCAGACAGUUGUUAGCUCCCGUUGUCCAUUUCUAUGCCGGGGAGUGGGAUGAGCUCCCCACAAUUCUCUCAGUUGUGCAUCCACCUGCACAACCAACAAACCUUAGCUUCUCUGAGGAUGAUUUUAUGGAUGGCUGCAGUAGCCAUGACGGAAGCAGUAUAGUUGGUCAGGACCCCAGGCGAUCGAGGAAGCUUUCUGGCAGCCGUGCAUGGGAGAGGGCCAGCGAGACCGACCCAGCAGAUGGAGGGUACGAUGUAAUUUUGAUUUCUGAGAUCCCUAAUGCGGUGAACUCUCUAAGGAAGCUCUAUGCCCUUAUCACUAAGUGCCUACGCCCUCCUUAUGGAGUCUUGUAUGUGGCUUCAAAGAAGAACAUGGUUGGUUCAAGCGGGGGCGCAAGGCAGCUUAAAAGUUUGAUGGAGGAGGAAGGUGUCCUUGGUGGUCACUUCUUGACUGAGAUAUCUGACCGGGAGAUAUGGAAGUUCUUUUUCAAGUAA